RNAcentral lists this long non-coding RNA (1013 nucleotides) under Taeniopygia guttata (zebra finch). RNAcentral describes it as "lncRNA (ENSTGUG00000018799.1)". The record is from RNAcentral. Lineage: Eukaryota; Metazoa; Chordata; Aves; Passeriformes; Estrildidae.
GUGGCCAUGGCAACUGUUGUUGUGUAAUGAAGUGCUGCCAGGAUCUAGGCCAGGAGCAGAGCUUCGUAAAGGAAAUGAAAACUAAAAAAAAAAAAAAUCAAACCAUGGAAAGGCAUGAUGUCAAGCCAAUGAAAUCCAAGCACUCCCUCUUCCUGGCGUCACACACACUUUUCCACACUGGCUGCCUGCAAUUCAGCCUUGCCACGGCUGACCCGAGGACCAGCAGCUGAAAAUUCACUGCUCAAACCAGUGCAUGUGGUUGUUUGUGCUACUGUGUUCUCCCCCAGCAAUAAUCAAGAACAAAUUGUAUCCACCACUCAUCUAGUUGUUCUUUGAGGAAGUGGUUCAGACAAUGAAACACAUCUGAUUGAGCAGCUAAGCCAACAGAACAGGCUACCUACUGCAGGAUGCCAGGCUGGAGGUGCUUAAAUACUUGUUAUUUUGACCCAGAGUUGUUUGCAUUUGCUUUGCUGAAAAUCCCUUCAUUGAAAGAAGAGGCGUCCUUAAAAGUGUGCGACCUUGAAGGUCUCUCUAGGUUUGUCUCCAUGAGGGGCAAAUUCACCAAGGGAGCCGGAGGCCUGGGUGCAGGGAUGCCUGAGCCCUUUCUGUGCCAGCCAGUUCAGAUGCAGGAACCUCAUCCCUGCUAUGGGUUUUCAAUCAACACUAACCUUGGUAACUGGUGUCUGUGAGCUAAACACUCUGGGACAACAAUGCUGUGAGGAGAAAAAAGCCAUUAAUGGAGCUUUAAACUACCUGCAAAAAGUACCCAGGCAAGUGCUGUUUCCUUGCCACUGCUUUCACCCACUGUAAAACCCAAGGUGCCCCAUGUCAGGCUGAGCUCAGGAGAGCCUGUCGGAAUCUGUGGUAUUGAUGAUUCCGAGAUUGUAAAAAGUCUCUGUCUUUCUGCCCCAAAGAAGAAGCCAUAAUUCGUCUGUGCUGUUUUCAAGGUUGUUUAUUCUUGCUUAUCUCUAACAAGUUCUGCUGCCCUGCCACAGGUCUGUCCUGCAGGGCAG